AACGAACGCUGGCGGCAUGCCUAACACAUGCAAGUCGAACGAAGGCUUCGGCCUUAGUGGCGCACGGGUGCGUAACGCGUGGGAAUCUGCCCUUUGGUUCGGAAUAACAGCUGGAAACGGCUGCUAAUACCGGAUGAUGACGAAAGUCCAAAGAUUUAUCGCCAGAGGAUGAGCCCGCGUUGGAUUAGGUAGUUGGUGGGGUAAAGGCCUACCAAGCCGACGAUCCAUAGCUGGUCUGAGAGGAUGAUCAGCCACACUGGGACUGAGACACGGCCCAGACUCCUACGGGAGGCAGCAGUGGGGAAUAUUGGACAAUGGGCGCAAGCCUGAUCCAGCAAUGCCGCGUGAGUGAUGAAGGCCCUAGGGUUGUAAAGCUCUUUUACCCGGGAAGAUAAUGACUGUACCGGGAGAAUAAGCCCCGGCUAACUCCGUGC
Molecule: ribosomal RNA, 434 nt
Filed under: uncultured bacterium
Lineage: Bacteria
Description: partial 16S ribosomal RNA
Rfam family: Bacterial small subunit ribosomal RNA
Source: RNAcentral